AUACUUUCUUGGUAUGGGAGGUACAAUGAUUGUAAAGGCCAUUUCCCAGGGCAAGGAUUUUCUAUUGCACUCAAUAUAUUGACCCCUGAAAUUUCCCCCUAAUAGGGAAAAAAAAGAUUCAUGAUUUCUGGUACUCAAAAUAAGGUUUAUUCUUUCUUCUGA
Small nuclear RNA from Dromiciops gliroides (monito del monte), 162 nucleotides. RefSeq annotates it as U1 spliceosomal RNA. The transcript has a single exon. Lineage: Eukaryota; Metazoa; Chordata; Mammalia; Microbiotheria; Microbiotheriidae. The record is from RefSeq and is a predicted model, not a curated record.